This 269-nucleotide ribosomal RNA is filed under the name uncultured Planctomycetales bacterium. RNAcentral describes it as "partial 16S ribosomal RNA". It matches the Rfam family "Bacterial small subunit ribosomal RNA", at positions 565 to 832 of the family's 1533-position model. Lineage: Bacteria; Pseudomonadati; Planctomycetota; Planctomycetia; Planctomycetales. The record is from RNAcentral.
GAGCACGUAGGUGGGUUUGUAAGUCAGAUGUGAAAGCCUUCUGUUCAACGGAAGAAUAGCAUCUGAAACUGCGAGUCUUGAGUGUAGGAGGGGAGAAUGGAACUUCUGGUGGGGCGGUGAAAUGCGUAGAUAUCAGAAGGAACGCCGGCGGCGAAAGCGAUUCUCUGGCCUAUUACUGACACUCAGUGUGCGAAAGCUAGGGGAGCAAACGGGAUUAGAUACCCCGGUAGUCCUAGCCGUAAACGAUGGGCACUAAGUAGAGGGGUUUU